UGGGGAAUAUUGCACAAUGGGCGCAAGCCUGAUGCAGCCAUGCCGCGUGUGUGAAGAAGGCCUUCGGGUUGUAAAGCACUUUCAGCGAGGAGGAAGGUGGUGAGCUUAAUACGCUCAUCAAUUUGACGUUUACUCGCAGAAGAAGCACCGGCUAACUCCGUGCCAGCAGCCGCGGUAAUACGGAGGGUGCAAGCGUUAAUCGGAAUUACUGGGCGUAAAGCGCACGCAGGCGGUUUGUUAAGUCAGAUGUGAAAUCCCCGGGCUCAACCUGGGAACUGCAUUUGAAACUGGCAAGCUAGAGUCUCGUAGAGGGGGGUAGAAUUCCAGGUGGUAGCGGUGAAAUGCGUUAGAGAUCUGGAGGAAUACCGGUGGCGAAGGCGGCCCCCUGGCACGAAGACUGACGCUCAGGUGCGAAAGCGUGGGAGCAAACA
This 431-nucleotide ribosomal RNA is filed under the name uncultured Serratia sp. RNAcentral describes it as "bacterial SSU rRNA". It matches the Rfam family "Bacterial small subunit ribosomal RNA", at positions 355 to 774 of the family's 1533-position model. Lineage: Bacteria; Pseudomonadati; Pseudomonadota; Gammaproteobacteria; Enterobacterales; Yersiniaceae. The record is from RNAcentral.